Molecule: ribosomal RNA, 513 nt
Filed under: uncultured Methanoculleus sp.
Lineage: Archaea; Methanobacteriati; Methanobacteriota; Methanomicrobia; Methanomicrobiales; Methanomicrobiaceae
Description: bacterial SSU rRNA
Rfam family: Archaeal small subunit ribosomal RNA
Source: RNAcentral
GCGCGAAAACUUUACAAUGCGGGAAACCGUGAUAAGGGAACCCCGAGUGCCUGUAUAUGCAGGCUGUCCAGGUGUCUAAAAAACACCUGAAGAAAGGGCCGGGCAAGACCGGUGCCAGCCGCCGCGGUAAUACCGGCGGCUCGAGUGGUGGCCACUUUUAUUGGGCUUAAAGCGUUCGUAGCUGGGUUGUUAAGUCUCUUGGGAAAUCUGACGGCUUAACCGUCAGGCGUCUAAGGGAUACUGGCAAUCUUGGAACCGGGAGAGGUGAGGGGUACUUCGGGGGUAGGAGUGAAAUCCUGUAAUCCUCGAGGGACCACCUGUGGCGAAGGCGCCUCACCAGAACGGCUUCGACAGUGAGGGACGAAAGCUGGGGGAGCAAACCGGAUUAGAUACCCGGGUAGUCCCAGCCGUAAACGAUGCGCGUUAGGUGUAUCGGUGACCACGAGUCACCGAGGUGCCGAAGGGAAACUGUGAAACGUGCCGCCUGGGAAGUACGGUCGCAAGGCUGAAACU